Molecule: ribosomal RNA, 438 nt
Filed under: uncultured bacterium
Lineage: Bacteria
Description: partial 16S ribosomal RNA
Rfam family: Bacterial small subunit ribosomal RNA
Source: RNAcentral
CUACGGGCUGCAGCAGUGAGGAAUAUUGCACAAUGGGGGGACCCUGAUGCAGCAACGCCGCGAGGAGGAUGACGCAUUUCGGUGUGUAAACUCCUUUUAUAUGUCAAGAAAAUGACGGUAGCAUAUGAAUAAGCACCGGCUAACUCCGUGCCAGCAGCCGCGGUAAUACGGAGGGUGCAAGCGUUACUCGGAAUCACUGGGCGUAAAGGACGCGUAGGCGGGUUGGAAAGUCAGGUGUGAAAGCCUACAGCUUAACUGUAGAACUGCACUUGAAACUUCUAAUCUAGAGUAUGGGAGGGGGAGAUGGAAUUAGUGGUGUAGGGGUAAAAUCCGUAGAUAUCACUAGGAAUACCUAAAGCGAAGGCGAUCUCCUGGAACAUUACUGACGCUAAGGCGUGAAAGCGUGGGGAGCAAACAGGAUUAGAUACCCCGGUAGUC